ACAAACUUGGUCAUUUAGAGGAAGUAAAAGUCGUAACAAGGUUUCCGUAGGUGAACCUGCGGAAGGAUCAUUACACUGAGAGGGUGGGUGCCGGGGGGCUGUUCUGCUUGGAUCAGCUCUUCUCGCCUGCCCUGUCGCAUACCAUCCAUGCUUUUUGCGUACCCACUGUUUCCUCGGCAGGCUCGCCUGCCCGCAGGACCCCCUUCAACCCUUUGCAAUUGCAGUCUGCGUCAGAAAACAACGUAAUCGUUACAACUUUCAACAACGGAUCUCUUGGUUCUGGCAUCGAUGAAGAACGCAGC
Molecule: unclassified non-coding RNA, 302 nt
Filed under: uncultured fungus
Lineage: Eukaryota; Fungi
Description: partial contains small subunit ribosomal RNA, internal transcribed spacer 1, and 5.8S ribosomal RNA
Rfam family: Eukaryotic small subunit ribosomal RNA (bases 1-73)
Source: RNAcentral